UGGCUCAGAGACGAACGCUAGCGGCGGGUCUUAACACAUGCAAGUCGAGCGGAGAGCUUCGGCUCUCAGCGGCGAACGGGUGAGUAACACGUAGGUCACGUACCCUUUGAUGGGGAAUAACCUAGGGAAACCUGGGCUAAUACCGCAUAUGUCCUUCGGGAUGAAAGCCUUCGGGCGUCAGAGGAUCGGCCUGCGGCCCAUUAUUAAUCCUAGUUGGUAGGGUAAUGGCCUACCAAGGGUACGAUGGGUAGCUGGUCUGAGAGGAUGAUCAGCCACACUAGAACUGAGACACGGUUCAGACUCCUACGGGAGGCAGCAGUGGGGAAUAUUGGACAAUGGGCGAAAGCCUGAUCCAGCCACGCCGCGUGGGUGAUGAAGGCCUUCGGGUUGUAAAGCCCUGUCGGGAGGGACGAAUCAAUGACGGUACCUCCCAAGAAAGCACCGGCUAACUCCGUG
Molecule: ribosomal RNA, 456 nt
Filed under: uncultured bacterium
Lineage: Bacteria
Description: bacterial SSU rRNA
Rfam family: Bacterial small subunit ribosomal RNA
Source: RNAcentral